GUGCCAGCAGCCGCGGUAAUACGGAGGGGGCAAGCGUUGUUCGGAUUCACUGGGUGUAAAGGGCGCGUAGGCGGUUUGGUAAGUUAGAUGUGAAAUCUCAAGGCUUAACCUUGAAACUGCAUUUAAUACUGCUGGACUAGAGUACGAAAGAGGGUGAUGGAAUUCUCGGUGUAAGAGUGAGAUCUGCAGAUAUCGAGAGGAACACCUGUAGCGAAGGCGAUCUCCUGGGUCGAUACUGACGCUGAAGUGCGAAAGCUAGGGGAGCGAACGGGAUUAGAUACCCCGGUAGUCCUAGCCGUAAACGAUGAGGACUAGGUGUUGGGGGGUCAUUGACCUUUCGGUGCCGCAGCUAACGCAUUAAGUCCUCCACCUGGGAAGUACGGUCGCAAGGCUGAAACUUAAAUGAAUUGACGG
Molecule: ribosomal RNA, 414 nt
Filed under: uncultured bacterium
Lineage: Bacteria
Description: bacterial SSU rRNA
Rfam family: Bacterial small subunit ribosomal RNA
Source: RNAcentral